UUGCUCACUUUGGCAGAUGCGCUGAGACAGAAACAGUACAGGGAAGAAUAACGUAGUCCCUGUGCAAGGGUGACACACAGAUUCGUGGGGUGGUCUGUAUUUUA
Molecule: small nuclear RNA, 104 nt
Organism: Myodes glareolus (Bank vole)
Lineage: Eukaryota; Metazoa; Chordata; Mammalia; Rodentia; Cricetidae
Source: RefSeq, a predicted model, not a curated record